RNAcentral lists this unclassified non-coding RNA (322 nucleotides) under Hevea brasiliensis (rubber tree). Lineage: Eukaryota; Viridiplantae; Streptophyta; Magnoliopsida; Malpighiales; Euphorbiaceae. The record is from RNAcentral.
GUGGUGCCCGCUACAAGAGGAGUGCUGAUUCCAAUAUGGGAAGAGGGCAAGGAAAUGCUUGGAGGGGUGCUCCAAACUGGUCUCCAUCUGUGCCAAAUGGCUACAUUCCUUUCCAACAUGGGCCACCUCAUGGAGGUUUUCAAGCCAUGAUGCCACAGUUUCCAUCUCCUCCUGUGUUUGGAGUUAGACCCUCAAUGGACAUCAGCCACUCUGGGAUUCCUUAUCAUAUUCCUGACGCUGAGAGGUUUUCCAGUCAUCUGCGCCCCCUUGGAUGGCAGAACAUGAUGGAAGGGUCAGGGCCUUCUCACAUGCAUGGAUGGGA